Molecule: ribosomal RNA, 484 nt
Filed under: uncultured bacterium
Lineage: Bacteria
Description: partial 16S ribosomal RNA
Rfam family: Bacterial small subunit ribosomal RNA
Source: RNAcentral
AUUGAACGCUGGCGGCAGGCCUAACACAUGCAAGUCGAGCGGAUGAAGGGAGCUUGCUCCUGGUUUCAGCGGCGGACGGGUGAGUAAUGCCUAGGAAUCUGCCUGUUUGUGUUGGAUAACGUCCGGAAACGGGCGCUAAUACCGCAUACGUCCUUAGGGCGAAAGGGGGGGAUCUUCGGACCUUACGCUAUUAGAUGAUCCUAGGUCGGAUUAGCUAGUUGGUGGGGUAAAGGCCUACCAAGGCGACGAUCCGUAACUGGUCUGAGAGGAUGAUCAGUCACACUGGAACUGAGACACGGUCCAGACUCCUACGGGAGGCAGCAGUGGGGAAUAUUGGACAAUGGGCGAAAGCCUGAUCCAGCCAUGCCGCGUGUGUGAAGAAGGUCUUCGGAUUGUAAAGCACUUUAAGUUGGGAAGAAGAGCAGUAAGUUAAUACCUUGCUGUUUUGACGUUACCAACAGAAUAAGCACCGGCUAACUUCGUG